GACGUAGGGUGCGAGCGUUGUCCGGAUUUAUUGGGCGUAAAGAGCUCGUAGGCGGCUCGUCGCGUCGACCGUGAAAACCCGCGGCUUAACUGCGGGCUUGCGGUUGAUACGGGCGGGCUAGAGUUCGGUAGGGGAGACUGGAAUUCCUGGUGUAGCGGUGAAAUGCGCAGAUAUCAGGAGGAACACCGGUGGCGAAGGCGGGUCUCUGGGCAUCUCCUGACGCUGAGGCGCGAAAGCGUGGGGAGCAAACGGG
This 253-nucleotide ribosomal RNA is filed under the name uncultured bacterium. RNAcentral describes it as "partial 16S ribosomal RNA". It matches the Rfam family "Bacterial small subunit ribosomal RNA", at positions 524 to 776 of the family's 1533-position model. The record is from RNAcentral.